AUUUUUUAUAAUAAUAAAUUCCUCCCGACGUAUGGAAUAAAUUUAGAAGUGGCACAGAAUCGGAAAUGGCGACUGUUUAAUUAAAAAACACAGGACAAUGCUAAAUAGAAAUAUGAUGUAUAUUGUCUGACUCCUGCCCAGUGCUUGAAAGUAAAAAUGAAUAUUUGAAAAGGUAUUUGUAUAAGCUCAAGUAAACGGCGGCUGUAACCUUGACGGUCUUAAGGUAGCGAAAUCCCUAGUCAAUUAAUUGUUGACGUGCAUGAAUGGAGUAACGACUGUUUUACUGUCUCGGGCUUUUGUACUGUGAAUUCAUAAUUGUCGUGAAGAUACGACAUUCCUAUAGUGGGACGGGAAGACCCUAUGCAGCUUUACUAUAAUUUUAAAGUGUUUGAAAUUCUUUAAGUAUGUAGGAUAGGUAUAAGCUUAUUAUUUCUUAACGCAAGUUAAUUGAUUAGGCAAUCUUGAAAUAGUACCUCUUUAAAAAUUUUAAACUAAUUUUUACAAAGACAUUUUAUGA
This 517-nucleotide ribosomal RNA is filed under the name uncultured bacterium. RNAcentral's name for it is "bacterial LSU rRNA". It matches the Rfam family "Bacterial large subunit ribosomal RNA", at positions 1726 to 2261 of the family's 2925-position model. The record is from RNAcentral.